GGAUAUGAGGAUGAUCUGGCAGCAACAUCUGGCACUCCAUUGAUUAGCAGGGUUGAUUCAGCUGAUAUGGCUGGCUAGGCUGGUGUCCCAUUCAUCCCUCUGGAGGCUGCACAUUCAAAAGAGAAUGACCUUCCCCAAAUUGAGACUGUCCAGGAUAUGAGUGGUUAUGCUCUCUUGCUACUACCUCUUAGCAAGCUCUCAAGAUCCAAAGAAGUUAAUUCUGAGAUUCUUUUAAAUUUAUUUAUUUACUUGCUGAUGUUUACU
RNAcentral lists this small nuclear RNA (264 nucleotides) under Erinaceus europaeus (western European hedgehog). RNAcentral's name for it is "7SK RNA". It matches the Rfam family "7SK RNA". Rfam says of the family: 7SK was discovered as an abundant small nuclear RNA in the mid-70s but a possible function has only recently been suggested. Two independent studies have found that 7SK RNA binds the CDK9/cyclin T complex (known as elongation factor P-TEFb). The record is from Rfam by way of RNAcentral. Lineage: Eukaryota; Metazoa; Chordata; Mammalia; Eulipotyphla; Erinaceidae.